Molecule: transfer RNA, 77 nt
Filed under: Cichorium endivia (endive)
Lineage: Eukaryota; Viridiplantae; Streptophyta; Magnoliopsida; Asterales; Asteraceae
Also listed under: 2 other names
Description: tRNA-Asp
Rfam family: tRNA
About the family: Transfer RNA (tRNA) molecules are approximately 80 nucleotides in length. Their secondary structure includes four short double-helical elements and three loops (D, anti-codon, and T loops).
Source: RNAcentral
UGGGAUUGUAGUUCAAUAGGCAAGAGCACCGCCCUGUCAAGGCGGAUGUUGCGGGUUCGAGCCCCGUCAGUCCCGAC